GCAAAGGAGGACUCUGUACCGGAGGCUUGGAUCAGCCGGGGAAUCAUUUUUUAAUUUGCGCACCCUUUUAAAUCUGGAUUCAGUGGAUAAAACAAAGGAAUUGAUGGACUACACAUUACAGUGUGCCUUGCUCUACACCACCGUCGGGGGCCGGAGGCGUCUGCGCGUCCACAACCUCAGUCUGAACUGCAACUCCCAGCUGAUGGAGCUGGUCAAGAGCUGUGAGACGGACUCGCUCAUCAACUUCUCCAAAACAGGCGGCUGAGUGCAGCAGGAAGCUCUUCAUCUUCCACGCCUCCAUCCCGACCGCUGAGGCUCCUGGGAAGUUGAAGAACCGAGACGAUAAGAAGCUGGUCAGCACGGACAAGGAGAAGGUGAGGCUCGGGGUCACUGCUUCUACUCUCAGUUCGGCUCAAGCUGGUCGAGGUUCUGCACUGAUUCAACAUAUCUGUUCUAUUUUAUAUUUGACUUAUGUGCUUAAUUACUUAUUAAGUUAUUUUUAAACAUGUUUACAUCUCAUCUUAUAAUUAUCCCAUUUCAUUUGUAUCUCUAUCAUUAUCAUUAUCCUCAAACGCUCCUUGCGUAUUCAUUUAGCCUAUCAAGGAAUGCUGCUCUUUCAGCUGUCCAAGGACUGUGUGGCUCAGGGCUGCAGCGUGGACCUCUUCCUGUUCCCCAGCCAGUACCUGGACAUCGCCACCAGGGGGAUGUGCCCGCGCACACCGGGGGCGCCGUCUACAAGUACAGCAACUUCCAGGUGUCUGUGUUUGUGUGUGUGGGGGUGUGAGUGUUAUAUUGCUUGUGUGUUUGUUGCUGUGUUGAUGGGUUGAGUGUGCGUGUGUGUGUGUGUCUGUGCGUGUGUGUGUGUGCGUUUAGAACACAUUACAAUCUAUUUAAACAUGGAUGUUUUUGUGGCCCGAAAUGGGAAAACAAUCUAUUAAUGAAACUGUGGAUACUUUCUAGUUAGGCUAUUGUCUCUGGCUACAGGCCAGGCAUGUGCACUUGAAGCAGACUUUAGAUCAGAUGUAAAAAAACAACGCUUAGCUUUGCUUUAUUAUUAUAUUUACUCAGUAGUUGGCCUCAAGUGAUAAAGAAAGAGUAGCAAUUAAUUAGGAUUCAAAAGACUGUUUGUCACACUUUUUUGUUCAAUUUACAAUUGAUUUGAAAAUAAAACCAACACACCCACAAACUCAAAAUAAAAAGUAUGAUAUCACGUUUGCUGUAUUGUCUCAGUAAUUUACACACAAUACAUGCAUACACACAAAUAUGCACACAGAGAAUCCCAAUGCAUUGCACACAAAGCCAAAUGAAAAUGUGUACCUUUUUCAAUAUUACCAAUGGGAACAACACUAUAAAUUAGCUUCUUUCAAUGUUAUGAAUUUUGAGAGGCAGACGAAUUGUUGUAUGUUUUUGUAAACGCAUCUGAAAGGCCUUUGCCCCCACACCUUUUGUGAUUUCUUUUUUUGUAUUGGAGGAAAAUAAACAAUGUUUCCUCGG
Molecule: long non-coding RNA, 1494 nt
Organism: Gadus macrocephalus (Pacific cod)
Lineage: Eukaryota; Metazoa; Chordata; Actinopteri; Gadiformes; Gadidae
Exons: 3
Source: RefSeq, a predicted model, not a curated record